This 497-nucleotide ribosomal RNA is filed under the name uncultured bacterium. RNAcentral's name for it is "partial 16S ribosomal RNA". It matches the Rfam family "Bacterial small subunit ribosomal RNA", at positions 28 to 507 of the family's 1533-position model. The record is from RNAcentral.
GAUGAACGCUGGCGGCGUGCCUAAUACAUGCAAGUCGAGCGAACGGACGAGAAGCUUGCUUCUCUGAUGUUAGCGGCGGACAGGUGAGUAACACGUGGAUAACCUACCUAUAAGACUGGGAUAACUUCGGGAAACCGGAGCUAAUACCGGAUAAUAUUUUGAACCGCAUGGUUCAAAAGUGAAAGACGGUCUUGCUGUCACUUAUAGAUGGAUCCGCGCUGCAUUAGCUAGUUGGUAAGGUAACGGCUUACCAAGGCAACGAUGAAUAGCCGACCUGGGAGAGUAAUAGGCCACGCUGGAACUGAAAGACGGGCCAGACUCCGACGGGGAGCAGCAGUAGGGAAUCUUCCGCGAUGGGCGUAAGCCUGACGGAGCAACGCCGCGUGGGUGAUGAAGGUCAUCGGGUCUGAAAACUCUGUGAUUAGGGAAGAACAUAUGUUUAAGUAACUGUGCACAUCUUGACGGUACCUGAGCAGAAAGCCACGGCUAACUACGUG